RNAcentral lists this microRNA (21 nucleotides) under Medicago truncatula (barrel medic). RNAcentral's name for it is "mtr-miR5558-3p". The record is from miRBase by way of RNAcentral. Lineage: Eukaryota; Viridiplantae; Streptophyta; Magnoliopsida; Fabales; Fabaceae.
UAGAUUUAGAAUUAGAAAAGC